This 468-nucleotide ribosomal RNA is filed under the name uncultured bacterium. RNAcentral describes it as "partial 16S ribosomal RNA". It matches the Rfam family "Bacterial small subunit ribosomal RNA", at positions 28 to 507 of the family's 1533-position model. The record is from RNAcentral.
GACGAACGCUGGCGGCGUGCUUAACACAUGCAAGUCGAACGGAAAGGCCCUGCUUUUGUGGGGCGCUCGAGUGGCGAACGGGUGUGUAACACGUGAGUAACCUGCCCUUGACUUUGGGAUAACUUCACGAAACUGGGGCUCAUACCGGAUAGGAGCUCCUGCUGCACGGUGGGGGAUGGAGAGUUUCGGCGGUUGGGGCUGGACUCGCGGCUUAUCGGCUUGUUAGUGUGGUAGGUGCUGACCAAGGCUUUGACGGGUAGGCGGCCUGAGAGGGGGACCGGCGACCAGGGGACUGAGAGACGGAGCAGACUGCAACGGGAGGCAGCAGUGGGGAAUAUUACACAGUAGGCGGAAGCCAGAUGCAGCAACGCCGCGUGCGGGAUGACGGCCUUCGGGGGGUAAACCGCUUUCGCAUGUGACGAGGCGUGAUUGACGGUAAUGGGUAAGGAAGCACCGGCUAACUACGUG